Molecule: transfer RNA, 64 nt
Filed under: Ephemera orientalis (oriental mayfly)
Lineage: Eukaryota; Metazoa; Arthropoda; Insecta; Ephemeroptera; Ephemeridae
Description: tRNA-Leu
Source: RNAcentral
GUCGUGCGAUACGAUUGUUUUGAAAAGUUUUUGUUUAAUUUAGUUAUUUAUAUUUAAUUUAUAA